GGCCUGGUGGCCUAAUGGUAAGGCGUCACUUUCCGGUUUAAAUCAAGUUCAGAACACUUGAUCCAUAGAUCAGUAUGGUGAAGAUUGCGGGUUCGAGUCCCGUCUGGGUGU
Molecule: transfer RNA, 111 nt
Filed under: Lachnellula willkommii
Lineage: Eukaryota; Fungi; Ascomycota; Leotiomycetes; Helotiales; Lachnaceae
Rfam family: tRNA
About the family: Transfer RNA (tRNA) molecules are approximately 80 nucleotides in length. Their secondary structure includes four short double-helical elements and three loops (D, anti-codon, and T loops). Further hydrogen bonds mediate the characteristic L-shaped molecular structure. tRNAs have two regions of fundamental functional importance: the anti-codon, which is responsible for specific mRNA codon recognition, and the 3' end, to which the tRNAs corresponding amino acid is attached (by aminoacyl-tRNA synthetases). tRNAs cope with the degeneracy of the genetic code in two manners: having more than one tRNA (with a specific anti-codon) for a particular amino acid; and 'wobble' base-pairing, i.e. permitting non-standard base-pairing at the 3rd anti-codon position.
Source: Rfam by way of RNAcentral